UAUUACCCUAUAGCAGUCGAUUUACAAAACUACUCACCCAAUUCACCCACUCAAUUACACUACAUGGUGGCAAUCAACUAGUUUUACGACUCAUGCGUACAGAAUUUUGGAUACCGAAGCUCAAAACCCUAAUUAAGUCCACCAUCCAUCAAUGCAAAACUUGCAUUUUACACAAAAAGGAUGCAACCACCCAAAUCAUGGCAGCACUCCCAACGGAACGCACAACCCUAACUCGCCCAUUUGCAGCCACAGGAAUAGAUUUCGCCGGUCCCUACGACAUAAAAAACUACACUGGAAGAGCAUGCUUAAUAACAAAAGGUUAUGUAUGCGUAUUUGUGUGUUUUGCAACCAAAGCAAUACACCUAGAACCAGUCAGCGAUCUCACUACACGAGCAUUCAUGGCCGCAUUCGCACGCUUCUUUUCCAGGCGCGGAUGUCCCGCCGAUCUCUACUCGGACAACGGAACUAAUUUCGUUGGAGCGUCUCAGCUGUUAAUCAACGAUCGGCGAGAAUUCAUGAAAUCACUCAAAAGUCAACUAGAAACGAGUGAAGCGCACCAAAACAUCAACUGGCACUUUAAUCCUCCAGGAGCUCCACACAUGGGUGGACUCUGGGAAGCAGGAGUGAAAAGCUUAAAGAGCCACUUAAAAAAGGUGUCGCAGACCCAAAAAUUCACCUUUGAAGAAUUAGCAACCCUUCUUACCCGAAUUGAAAGCUGUUUGAAUUCUCGCCCUUUAAGCCCAAUAAGUGAAGACCCCACGAAUUUGGAACCUUUAACACCAGGCCAUUUCUUAAUAGGUACCCUUUUACUAGCCCCAGCAGAACCCAACUUAGAAGAUGUAAAUCUAAGCACUGCAAAUAGAUGGCAAAAACUAAAAAUACUCCAACAACAUUUCUGCAAACGAUGGAAAGAAGAAUACUUAAAAGAACUACACAAAAGAUACAAAUGGAAAUACCCUCAACGCAACAUAGAAGUUAAUGAUUUGGUAGUUAUUCGACAUGAAACAUUACCCCCAAAUGAAUGGAGACUAGGUCGAAUCGAAAAAACUUAUUUCGGUUCAGACGAUAGAACAAGAGUAGUAGAUAUACGUACUUCUCAAGGCAUAAUUACCCGCCCAAUAACCAAAGUAGUAUGUCUACCCAAUAAUUAAUAAAAUUUCUUUAUAGUGACAUGGCUCCUCUAAACAACAGCAGAGCAUCCCACAACCGACGCAGCAGCCCAGCCACUACCGUGCGAUCACUCAGCGUGACCCGAAGCAUCACCCCACUCCCUGAAGAAGGGACCCUGGCGCGACGUCUACAACGUUUUAAAUCGACCCUUUCCCCAAUUCGUGAAGAAAGAGGAAGUACACACCGCACGGCACGGCGUACUAUAACUCACCCAGCAAAACGCACUUACAAACACGUAGCUUGCGGAAUAUGCAAGAAAGAUCACAGAUUGGUGACAUGUUCCAAUUUUACAAAAAUGAACUUGAACGAAAAGUUUGACGCAGUUACCAAGUACAGGUACUGUGUCAACUGCUUGGCCAGAUCACAUCAGACCCAAAAAUGUACAAGCGAAAAACGAUGCAACACAUGCAAUGGGAAACACCAUUCGAGUCUUCACGGUCACCCCAGGUUGUUCUGCAAAGAACCAACCAAAUCAACAAACAUCGAUAAGAGAUACAAAAGACCCAAUGAUGUUCCAACAUUACUGGCCAAGCCGACUCUCAUACCCACGGCGAUGAUAAAAAUGAAACACAACGGAAAAUGGAACAAAAUCCGAACAAUAAUCAACCCGACCCGUAAAUUAUCAAUAAUCGCAUCAGAACUGGUACAAAAGUUGAGGCUACCAAAAACGUAUCUUGACUCACACCGUGUGUGCAAGGUUGUUAUAGGAUCACUCACUGAUCCGGACUGGCAGGUGGAAAUCAACUGCCUUGUAACAAACGAGUUACCGACCCGACCCUAUAAUCGUGACAUAAGUGGCGAAAUCAUGAAGAAGUUCGACCACUUAGUCCUAGCCGACCCGAUGUUUUUUAAAGAUGACAAAAUCUUAUUGGAACUCGGGGCAGAUACGUAUCCUAAAAUUAUGAAACCCGGAUUAUUCAAUCCCGACAACGGCACUGUGAUCGCACAAAACACUGCACUCGGUUGGACCCUCACCGGUGCUUGUGCGAUGUAACACUAAACCCUUCAAGGCGGCCGGGAUGUUCAUACCAAAUGAACACAUCCCUGCAUUGUCCUCUAAACUGGUCGAAAGACGAAUUAGAGGACAAUGCAGAAACACCAACCGCACCAACAUAUCUAAUGAGAAUCAUUCUUAUAAGAAUACAACAAGCAAAGGAAGUGCAAAAUAAGCGGACGGACAACCAACCACUCGAUCACCACAAUAAUCAGGAUCAGGAAAUAACCAUCCAACCAACGCGGGAAUACCCACCACAGGUCAUAUACAAGAUUAAGAUAUAAUUUCAAUUGUAAUUAACACUUAAGGUAUUAUAUACGGUGAUAUUUUACCUAACCCACCCUCUCAUUUAUAACAAACAUACACACACACUCUUAUAUAAAUUAACCCAAACAUAUUGUAUAUACCCCAUAUAAUAUAAAUUGUGAAUUUUGAUAUUGAAAACGAAAUCAUCUCUUUUAUUUGGCAACCGACUAUUUCGAAGUUGAAUACCUCAACAAGAGUAUUAUAGUUUUGUUAACAUUGCGGUUCGUCGUAAGCCCUAAAACUAAACGAGUCAGAUAUAGGGUUAUAUGUAUCAAAUUGUUCAGGGUGACGAGUAAAGUUCAAAUUCGGAUGUUUAUCUGUCCGUCCGUCCGUGCAAGCUGUAACUUGAGUAAAAAUUAAGAUAUCUUGAUGAAAUUUAGAAGAUGUAUUUCUUGGCUCCAUAAGAAGAUUAAGUUCGAAAAUGAGCGCAAUCGGCCUGCCUCGUCCAUAAAAUGGCGAAAACCGAAAACUCAUAAAGUGCAAUAACUAAGCCAUAAAUAAAGUUAUGGAAGUAAAAUUUAAUACAAAGGAUCGUACUAUGAAGGGGCAUAUUUGGAUGUAAUUUUGUUGUUGAAGUGGGCGUGGCCCCAUGUUCAUAAAUACAUAUAUGAACAUGAAUGAUUUAUUACAUUAAGAUUGAAUUAUAUGUAGAACAUUAUAUUUUUGACAAUAAGCAAUGAAUUAAAAAAAAAGUAUAUGCAGUCCACUAAAUGUCAAGUGCAAUGGUUAGCAACAAAAUUUUAAUAUGAGACUUGCUCAUAAAAAUUUAAAAUUCAUUGCAUAUAAAAGAAACCACAUAAACAUAUAUGCAUUAAUAUGCAACAAACAUACAUUAUAUGUUGCACGCAUACAUGCAACACACAUACACUUAUAUGAGGCACGCAUGCAUCUAUAUGCAACACGCAUGCACUCAACUAUUAAUAAACAAACAUAUUUGUAUGCACAAGAUAACCUAUUGGUUAUAAAAAUACAUUUGGGCAAUUGCUUGUGUGCAUUUGAAAUAACUCCUUAUCGUGCAACAUAUAAAAUAUACAUAUUGACAUACACACAUACACAUAUAAUUAGUUCUUAAGAUGUAUUCAAAAAUUGUAUUUAAGCAGUGACAGAAUGAAAAUAAAUUUAGAAUGAAUUAGAUUCUCACUCAAUGCAAGUCUUUCAUUACUCCCCACCAGCGGUAAGGUUUGUUAGAAACUACAUUGUUUAAACAUUUUGGUCCUUCGAUCCUCUUUUUGAAAAAGAAUCGAGCAAGUGCAAGUACUAGAAGCCUCUUAAAAGAAAAAGAGCAUUACUUAGCCAAAUAAAUAUAAAUGUAAGCCGGAAUAGCAAAGGCUAUCCGCAUUUAUAAAAUUUACUUUUCGUAAAAGUUAAAAAAAAGCGACCUUGUGGCUAUAACAACAAGAACAGUGCAAAAAAAAAAAUAAAAAAAUAAGAAAAAAAAUAUCUACAAACACCAACUAUAAAGAGGCAAAUAUGAAGAACUUGCUAACACGACAGAGGGAUUUAGGCGAUCUAGCUGCGUUGGAGGAGCAGAAAGUUGUCAGGGGAAAGAUAAAAAAAGCUUCAUGUCUGGAAUAUAUGGAUCAUAUUCAGACUGUUAUGAAAGAUUUUACUGCAAAUCAUAGCAAAAUAAUGGCUAAGAAAAGUCAAGAAGCAGAGGAAUACAUUGCGAAGAAUUACUACGAGCAUGUAAUGCAAACUAUGGAGAAUUCUAUUCAGAAUUUAAGAAUUGAAAGUACUGCAGAAAGUCUGUUAGCAGUGAGCAGCAAAGGGCAAAUAGAAUCUAUGCCACAAACUAUUCAGGUCGAACCACCUGAAGCUGCUUCUGGCGUUGAAAGAAAAUAUCAACGUCGAGCAAAAAAGCUCAGGAACACACUUGAUGAAAUUCAAGAAAAUGAAUUGAAUAAUCUCGAGCAAAUGAGAGAAUUCAAAAUUAAGCUUGAAAUACAAUUUGAGAAUGUUGAAGAAGCAUAUUUUGAAACUCAAAAUAUCAAAUUAGUGGAAACAACUGAAGACUCUAUCGAGGAACAAAUAGAUGAAUUUCGUCAAAAUUAU
Molecule: RNA transcript, 4522 nt
Organism: Zeugodacus cucurbitae (melon fly)
Lineage: Eukaryota; Metazoa; Arthropoda; Insecta; Diptera; Tephritidae
Exons: 2
Source: RefSeq, a predicted model, not a curated record